Molecule: long non-coding RNA, 1069 nt
Filed under: Equus caballus (horse)
Lineage: Eukaryota; Metazoa; Chordata; Mammalia; Perissodactyla; Equidae
Description: lncRNA (ENSECAG00000056450.1)
Source: RNAcentral
CGGGAGCUUUUGCAUACGAGCCAUUACCUGGUAAAAGAGACUUUUCAUCUCUGAUUAAGAAUCUUGAGAAGGGGCCAUUAUCCUAGAUUAUCCAGUGGGCCAAACGUAAUCACAAUACUCUUUAUAAAAGGGAAGCAAGAGAGCCACAGUCAGAAAGAAAGAUUCGAUGAUGCCACCCAUGUGAUGGAGGAUGGGGCUAAGAGCUAAUAAAAGUGGGUGGCCUCUAGAAGCUGGAAAAGACAAAAGAACCAAUUCUCCUAGAGCAUGCACAAGGGAUUCAACAUAGACGACAUCUUGAUUUUAGCCCAGUGAAGCCUGUUUCACACUUCUUUCUGUCCUCCAAGACUUUAAGAUAUUAAAUUUGUGUUGCUUUAAGCUACUAUGUUUGUAGUAGUUUGCUGCAGUAGCGAUAGGAAUCUAAUACAGAUCUUUAGGAGCAAACAACUGCUAGAGUGACUUUUGUUUUAGUGUUAAGUAUGUGAAGCUAAUUCUGCUUUCCUCUGCAUCCUUAUAUGCUUACAAAUUUUUGUUGCUUUGCCUGCAGAAAUAGUCCCAGGCCCUUAUGCAACUUGGAAACUUUUCAACCCUUCAGAGCUAUAGUUCGUGAUCAGAUAACAAGCUGUGGCACCACAAUUUUUUAAAACUCUGGUUAUCUAAUGGAAAAUGCUUCCAAGAGUUGAUACAAUUUUCAGAAAAUAAUUUUAGAGAGUUAUAGCAUAGCAAGGAAUAUAAAAGACAAUUGUUCCAAGGCUUCUUGAGGAAUUUGUCCACAAAAAGCCCCCUGGUACACAGUUGUAUAUUCUUUGUUGUGGGUCCUUCUAGUUGUGGCAUGUGGGAUGCUGCCUCAGCGUGGUUUGAUGAGCAGUGUCAUGUCCGCGCCCAGGAUUCGAACCAACGAAACACUGGGCGGCCUGCAGCGGAGCGUGCGAACUUAACCGCUGGGCCACGGGGCCAGCCCCAAAAUGUUGAUUUUUUUUUAAAGCUUGUUUUGUUUGUAUAGAUAAAAUAAAAUUUUAAUUUAGGAAACUUAUUAAGAUUUUCCCAUUUAUAUGUGCUCCAUCCAAUGCAG